GAUGAACGCUGGCGGCGUGCCUAACACAUGCAAGUCGAGCGGAUAGAUGGAGCUUUUGCCUGGAUUCAGCGGGGGGCGGGUGAGUGAUGCACACGAGUCUGCCUGCCCUUGGGGGAUGACGUCCGUACGCGAGCGCGGAUAUCACAUACGAUCAGAUCGUGAAACAGGGGGUUCUUUGGACCGCACCGGAUCUGAUGAGCCUAGGACGGAUUAGCUAGUUGGUUGGGUAAGUUCCUACCAAGGCGACGAUCCGUAGCUGGUCUGAGAGGAUGAUCAGUCACACUGGAACUGAGACACGGUCCAGACUCCUACGGGAGGCAGCAGUGGGGAAUCUUGGGCAAUGGGCGAAAGCCUGACGCAGCCAUGCCGCGUGUGUGAAGAAGGUCUUCGGAUCGUAAAGCACUUUUAGUUGGGAAGAACGGCUGUAAGUUGAAACGUGGCUGUCUUGACGGUACCGACUCAAUAAGCACCGGCUAACUACGUG
Molecule: ribosomal RNA, 484 nt
Filed under: uncultured bacterium
Lineage: Bacteria
Description: partial 16S ribosomal RNA
Rfam family: Bacterial small subunit ribosomal RNA
Source: RNAcentral